This is a long non-coding RNA of Mustela erminea (ermine), 751 nucleotides long. RefSeq lists it as uncharacterized. The transcript is spliced from 3 exons. The record is from RefSeq and is a predicted model, not a curated record. NCBI's taxonomy places the organism in Eukaryota, Metazoa, Chordata, Mammalia, Carnivora, Mustelidae.
GUCAAGUCCACCAGUGCACCUGAAGCUGGAAAGCACUCAUUCAUUCCUUCUUUCCAUUUCCGAGUGUUCCGGUGGUGCCAGGCCCUGCGGUGAGGCAGGAGGAAGACACAGUCCUGGCCUCGGAGAGCUCACACUGGCCCAGCGUCCCUUACUGAGCCUACAGGCUGCCUUUCUGCCACCACUGUUCUGAGUGUUACGGAGGAAACCAACAGGACUGAGAUAGGGACCCUGUUCCCUGAGAGCUUUUGCAGUAGGAACGAUUAGAUACAUAAAAAGUCAAAAUAUAAGCAAAGAGGUGAUGCGGACAAUAAGGACAUGUUGAGUUAAAUGCCCUGAACAUGCAGAGGCCACGAGUGAAUGAAAGCAGCAGUGGUGUGAGGGGACUCUGCUGGUAGGAGUCCUCUGGACCAGUGAUCGCAAGGGACACAAAGCUACCGCAUCUUCUGCAUUCGCUCUCAAGCCCUGCUGAGGCCACAUCCUGAAGGUCACUCACUCCACCUACAAAACUUCUAUAAUUUCUCUCCCGACUCCUGUCCAUCUUUCCUACCACCAACAGGGAUCUGCCUAAAAUGCACGUGCAGUCCCAUUGGUCCCCUGCUUACCGUCUUACAAAGUAUUACCCAAAAUCUUAAUUGAUGCAAGGCUCUUCUUUUGUCUGGUGAGCCUCCCGGACCCACCCCCCACACCCUUCACGCCGUAUCCCCCAACACUCCGCUCAUCUCUAGGUACCUGUAAGCUUGACUUACCGAAU